This 196-nucleotide non-coding RNA is filed under the name Clostridium cylindrosporum. Its description in RNAcentral is "T-box sequence". It matches the Rfam family "T-box leader". From Rfam's summary of the family: Uncharged tRNA acts as the effector for transcription antitermination of genes in the T-box leader family. T-boxes are found upstream of many aminoacyl-tRNA synthetase genes and some amino acid biosynthetic genes usually in Gram-positive bacteria. Lineage: Bacteria; Bacillati; Bacillota; Clostridia; Eubacteriales; Clostridiaceae. The record is from RNAcentral.
AUAAAAACUGUGAUAGGGAGUAGUAAGUUUGAAUAGGAUUCACAGAGAGUGGGAGAUAGCUGGGAGCCCAUAAUCUUUACAUUCUGAACUCGCCCUUGAGUUGUAGGCCGAACCUUUAGUAAGCCGAGCCGGCAUAGCCGUUAUUUAACUAAGAUACAAAUUUGGGUGGUACCGCGAAAGACUCUUCGCCCCAUUA